This is a long non-coding RNA of Cucurbita moschata (crookneck pumpkin), 162 nucleotides long. RefSeq lists it as uncharacterized. The record is from RefSeq and is a predicted model, not a curated record. The transcript has 2 exons. Lineage: Eukaryota; Viridiplantae; Streptophyta; Magnoliopsida; Cucurbitales; Cucurbitaceae.
AUUUUGACUGUGAUUGGGCUUUGGGAAGAAGCAACUAUACAAUAAUUCAAAGUAUACUAAAACGUGCCACUACAUGAAGAUUGGGGAUCAGAUAUGGCUGAUGGUUGAGUCCAAUUCUGGUUCAGUUGGAAGUCCUUUCGGACGAUGAUAUAUAAACACCUU